Molecule: ribosomal RNA, 479 nt
Filed under: uncultured bacterium
Lineage: Bacteria
Description: bacterial SSU rRNA
Rfam family: Bacterial small subunit ribosomal RNA
Source: RNAcentral
GACGAACGCUGGCGCCGUGCUUAACACAUGCAAGUCGAGCGGUAAGGCCCUUUCGGGGGUACACGAGCGGCGAACGGGUGAGUAACACGUGGGUGACCUGCCUCUAGCUCUGGGAUAAGCCUGGGAAGCUGGGUCUAAUACCGGAUAUGACCUCGCGGUGCAUGUUGCGGGGUGGAAAGCCUUGUGCGGCUAGGGAUGGGCCCGCGGCCUAUCAGCUUGUUGGUGGGGUGAUGGCCUACCAAGGCGACGACGGGUAGCCGGCCUGAGAGGGCGACCGGCCACACUGGGACUGAGACACGGCCCAGACUCCUACGGGAGGCAGCAGUGGGGAAUCUUGCGCAAUGGGCGAAAGCCUGACGCAGCGACGCCGCGUGAGGGAUGACGGCCCUCGGGUUGUAAACCUCUUUCAGCCCUGACGAAGCGAAAGUGACGGUAGGGGCAGAAGAAGCACCGGCCAACUACGUGCCAGCCGCCGCUGU